RNAcentral lists this ribosomal RNA (443 nucleotides) under uncultured crenarchaeote. RNAcentral describes it as "bacterial SSU rRNA". It matches the Rfam family "Archaeal small subunit ribosomal RNA", at positions 252 to 697 of the family's 1478-position model. The record is from RNAcentral. Lineage: Archaea; Thermoproteati; Thermoproteota.
UUCGCCCUUUUACCGGUGCGGGCCGUGAGAGCGGGAGCCCGGAGAUGGGCACUGAGACAAGGGCCCAGGCCCUACGGGGCGCAGCAGUCGCGAAAACUUUGCAAUACACGAAAGUGUGACAAGGCUAUCCCGAGUGCCAUCCGCUGAGGAAGGCUUUUACCCAGUAUAAAUAGCUGGGAGAAUAAGGAGAGGGCAAGUCUGGUGUCAGCCGCCGCGGUAAUACCAGCUCUCCGAGUAGUGUGGAUGUUUAUUGGGCCUAAAGCAUCCGUAGCUUGCUAGGCAAGUCCCCUGUUAAAUCCACCGAUUCAAUCGAUGGUUUGCGGGGGAUACUGUUUGGCUAGGGGACGGGAGAGGUCGACGGUAUUUCCGGGGUAGGGGUGAAAUCCUAUAAUCCCGGGAGGACCACCAGUGGCGAAGGCUGUCGACUAGAACGCGCCCGACGG